Molecule: transfer RNA, 106 nt
Filed under: Enhydrobacter sp.
Lineage: Bacteria; Pseudomonadati; Pseudomonadota; Alphaproteobacteria; Hyphomicrobiales
Description: tRNA-Trp
Rfam family: tRNA
About the family: Transfer RNA (tRNA) molecules are approximately 80 nucleotides in length. Their secondary structure includes four short double-helical elements and three loops (D, anti-codon, and T loops).
Source: RNAcentral
GGAGGUGUGGCAGAGCCAAGUUGAACGCGCCGGUCUCCAAAACCGGAGGGGUCCACGGUUAUCCAGCCCCGGGCCCUCGCGGGUUCGAAUCCCGCCGCCUCCGCCA